GGGUUAGUAGGCUGGUUAUGCCACUGGUAUGUACUGGUCUUACUGAUUCCUCCUUCCUGAUGAACUGUAAUGCCAUUAAUUUGGUGUUGCAGGGAGUCUGGACUGUUACUUUGAAAAAAUUAGAGUGUUUAAAGCAGGCUAACGCUUGAAUACAUUAGCAUGGAAUAAUGAAAUAGGACGUUCGAUCCUAUUUUGUUGGUUUCUAGGAUUGACGUA
RNAcentral lists this ribosomal RNA (216 nucleotides) under uncultured Glomeromycotina. RNAcentral describes it as "partial small subunit ribosomal RNA". It matches the Rfam family "Eukaryotic small subunit ribosomal RNA", at positions 644 to 864 of the family's 1831-position model. The record is from RNAcentral. Lineage: Eukaryota; Fungi; Glomeromycota.